AUUGAACGCUGGCGGCAUGCCUAACACAUGCAAGUCGAACGGUAACAGGCCCUUCGGGUGCUGACGAGUGGUGGAUGGGUGAGUAAUACUUAGGAAUCUACCCUGUAGUGGGGGACGAACCCGGGGAAACUCGGGCUAAUACCGCAUACGCUCUACGGAGGAAAGCGGGGACCGCAAGGCCUCGCGCUAUUGGAUGAGCCUAAGCCCGAUUAGCUAGUUGGUGGGGUAAUAGCCUACCAAGGCAAUGAUCGGUAGCUGGUCUGAGAGGACGACCAGCCACACUGGGACUGAGACACGGCCCAGACUCCUACGGGAGGCAGCAGUGGGGAAUAUUGGACAAUGGGCGAAAGCCUGAUCCAGCGAUGCCGCGUGAGGGACGAA
RNAcentral lists this ribosomal RNA (381 nucleotides) under uncultured bacterium. RNAcentral describes it as "bacterial SSU rRNA". It matches the Rfam family "Bacterial small subunit ribosomal RNA", at positions 30 to 412 of the family's 1533-position model. The record is from RNAcentral.